RNAcentral lists this ribosomal RNA (497 nucleotides) under uncultured bacterium. RNAcentral describes it as "partial 16S ribosomal RNA". It matches the Rfam family "Bacterial small subunit ribosomal RNA", at positions 28 to 507 of the family's 1533-position model. The record is from RNAcentral.
GAUGAACGCUGGCGGCGUGCCUAAUACAUGCAAGUCGAGCGAACGGACGAGAAGCUUGCUUCUCUGAUGUUAGCGGCGGACGGGUGAGUAACACGUGGAUAACCUACCUAUAAGACUGGGAUAACUUCGGGAAACCGGAGCUAAUACCGGAUAAUAUUUUGAACCGCAUGGUUCAAAAGUGAAAGACGGUCUUGGUGUCACUUAUAGAUGGAUCCGCGCUGCAUUAGCUAGUUGGUAAGGUAACGGCUUACCAAGGCAACGAUGCAUAGCCGACCUGAGAGGGUGAUCGGCCACACUGGAACUGAGACACGGUCCAGACUCCUACGGGAGGCAGCAGUAGGGAAUCUUCCGCAAUGGGCGAAAGCCUGACGGAGCAACGCCGCGUGAGUGAUGAAGGUCUUCGGAUCGUAAAACUCUGUUAUUAGGGAAGAACAUAUGUGUAAGUAACUGUGCACAUCUUGACGGUACCUAAUCAGAAAGCCACGGCUAACUACGUG